GUUCACUAGGCCAUGGGAGGUGAAUGAAUGGAUUGCCUGGACGUUGGGCCAAAGUUCCUUGGGAGAAAGACCCGGUACUCCAAAACCACAAUCCAAAUGUUCUAUGAAAUCCCUAAAGACAGGUUCAGAUGUAGAAAACCGAAACUCACCUUCAGGAGUCAAAACGACCAUGAACGGAAACUGCUGGUGUAACAACCGCACAUCAUCGUCGUCAAUACGCUACCGGCGGCGUAAAACUGCUCGCGCCUCAACCGUGCAUCAUCGCCGUCGAUGCGUCUUCGCCAGAGUGGAACGGUUUGCGUAAUGUCGUUACCAACACGUCGUCGGAGUGAAGUUGACGUCCACCUUGAUCAGAUCCGUAAUCAAGCGAUGUGUUCCACUUUCUACUUCUCUUUCUUCGUAUCCUCCUUCGUCACCAGAAGAAUCACACGAACCCGCGUGUUUGAGCCGUGUUGUUGUUGUUCGUCGUGGCGCGUCGUUGACCGUAACGGAGAUGAAGGCGUUUGAUUUUUGACCGCGAUUUCGUCGUGACCGCACCGUUGUGAAUUGGUGAAGGUUUGAUGAAGGUGGAGAUUACGGUUUCGGUUACGGUUUUGGUUGGUUGCAGUUAUGAUGAAGAGGAGUUCUUGGAUGGAUUCACGGUGGUUGAAGGUUUGGGUUCAAUGAUUCGAAGAGUUUGUGAUGAGGUUGAAGAAUUGAAUAGGCGAUGGAGGAAGAAAAGGAGAAUCCCGGAAAAAUUGUAGAGAGGUUGUUGAAGAUCUUGUGAAGGUGGAGAUUACGGUUACGGAUCCGUAGUGGUGAAGGUGUGGAUUGGAAGGUGAAGGUUGAUGUUGAAGAAGAUUAUGUUUAUGGAAUUUGGGGUUUGGUGAAGGUUUUGACGAAGAAGUUGGAAGUGGAUUGAGAGUGGAGGUGGAGAAGAAUGGUGAAUUGUUGAAUUAUGGGAAAGAUGAUGGAAGAAAAAUUGAAUUGAAGGUGGAGGAUGGUUCUUAUAGGAGAGUAAGGUUAGAGAGAUGGUUGGUUAUGACAGUUGGAAGUUGUUAUGAGAGUUGAAGGAGGAUGAGGAAAAUAGGUUCUGAAGGUGUUUUGAAGUUGGAUUUCUAUCUUGUGGAGUUAGUUAUUCUGUUAUGAGGCGGUUAUGGCACUUGGCAGGUUAGUUACCGAGUCGGUUCUCACACGAAGUUAGUCAUGGUUUCAGUGAGUGUUUCCAAUUCUCUAUUAUGCUAUGCUUCUAUUUUGCCUCCUUUCCACUGUUAUGCUUUUGCUUUCUUUUAUGCAGGUUUUGUUAGAAGGUUUGUGUAUUAGCUGCGCUUUGCUUGCGGUUUACCGGCUUGGCUCGCUUGUGGCUUGUUUGGCUGGGCAGCAGAAUUUUGAUGCAUUUUAUGCAGAAUUUCUACAUGCCUUUUAAUGCAGAAUUUUGAUAAAUGCAAUGCAGAAUUUUGGUUGUACUUGAUGCAGAAUUUUAUGCAGAAAAGAAUUUUUGUAAUGCUGAAUUUUGAUGAUGCAGAAUUUUAAUGCUGUUUUAUGCAGAAUUUUGGAUGUGUUGCUGUUAAAUGCAAUGCAGAAUUUUAUGCAGAA
Long non-coding RNA from Lathyrus oleraceus (garden pea), 1575 nucleotides. RefSeq lists it as uncharacterized. The record is from RefSeq and is a predicted model, not a curated record. NCBI's taxonomy places the organism in Eukaryota, Viridiplantae, Streptophyta, Magnoliopsida, Fabales, Fabaceae. The transcript has 3 exons.